Molecule: long non-coding RNA, 545 nt
Organism: Symphalangus syndactylus (siamang)
Lineage: Eukaryota; Metazoa; Chordata; Mammalia; Primates; Hylobatidae
Source: RefSeq, a predicted model, not a curated record
UCUCUUCAGUCUAAGUCCAUUACAGGUAUCCAGUUUGAGCAAUGGGAAAGUAAAGUUCUGGCGAAAAAGAUCUGCUUAAGUUUCAUGUUUUGUUCAUUCAUCCAUUCAACGAACAUCUCCAUGCAGCUUCCACGAAUUCAGGACAGUCCUGAGGUAUAGCAAUGAAGAAGCAUCUUGGAGUGCUGAUUUGCUGUGGAUGGCUGAAGAGGAGAAGGGAGCACAUACGCAAUUACAGGCUACAUUUUAACAGGAAAUUAUUCUUCAGACUCAAACCACAAAAGCAUUAGCCUUUGAAUUAUUUCCACUCUACGAAGGAAAAGAGCAGAAAAAGAGGCCUGAACAAAGAGGAGGAGACACCACCACCCAAUUCAUAAGGAUGGUCUCCCAGAAUCCCCUGAACUUUCACAGUGUGGAAAGUUUCUGUGAUUUCAAGCAGAGACCAGGAGAAACUAUACUUUUCACCUCUUCUCAUUAACUAAAAGCCACAGCUAAAAAUAAAAAGCUGGAGCAAUUCCAAAAUUGUGGGUUUUAUAGGGCACAUUAAA